Molecule: long non-coding RNA, 247 nt
Filed under: Elaeis guineensis (African oil palm)
Lineage: Eukaryota; Viridiplantae; Streptophyta; Magnoliopsida; Arecales; Arecaceae
Description: long non-coding RNA (EGUI_LNC066519)
Source: RNAcentral
GAUUGGAUUUUAUAGCAUCAGAUCAUAUCUUAUGUAAAUGUACAAUAGAGCAAUCACAGUGAAAGAGAGGCUCCUUGGGAACUUGAAGUAGAAAAGAGAGUCAAGUAUCCAUAGCCCUUCAAAUCUUCAGAUAUAUUUAUUUAAAAAAAAAUUAUUUUAAGAGGGGAGAAUGUAAUAGCCAGAAUUUGGUCCAUGGUUUGACUGAAAAUGCUCGACUGAUGCCAUGCACAUGCUCGGCACAUAAGUG